RNAcentral lists this ribosomal RNA (162 nucleotides) under Triticum aestivum (bread wheat). Its description in RNAcentral is "partial small subunit ribosomal RNA". Lineage: Eukaryota; Viridiplantae; Streptophyta; Magnoliopsida; Poales; Poaceae. The record is from RNAcentral.
AUGAGACACCAUAAGGAUGCCAUUGCUAGGACAGGGAUCAAGAUUUUCUUCUUUCUUGUUUGCCGUGGUACCAUUGGUCCAGUUUGGACAUCCCAUCACUCCUACUGCUAUCUUUCCGUUCACCACAAGAGCCAAACCGACCUUAAGACAAAACAAGAAUAG